Molecule: ribosomal RNA, 49 nt
Filed under: Griseoporia carbonaria
Lineage: Eukaryota; Fungi; Basidiomycota; Agaricomycetes; Gloeophyllales; Gloeophyllaceae
Description: partial 28S large subunit ribosomal RNA
Source: RNAcentral
UUGACCUCAAAUCAGGUAGGAUUACCCGCUGAACUUAAGCAUAUCAAAA